AUGGACGCCGCCGGCGCCGGAGACGGGCCGCCGCGGGAGGCGCCGGAGGAGAGGACGCCCCAGACCCCUGCGCCGCCAGCCGUGGCCGCCCCGGCCUCGGCCUCCGGGGGCGCCGCGGGCCCCUCUGGCUCCGGGGAGAAGCCGGUGAAGCGCAUGAUGAAGACCCCCUACCAGCUCGAUGUUCUCGAGCAGACGUAUUUAGCGGAGCAGUACCCCUCGGAAGCCAUGCGUGCCGAGCUGUCAGUGAAGAUAGGCCUGUCAGACAGGCAGCUGCAAAUGUGGUUCUGCCACAGGCGGCUCAAGGACCGCAAGCCGCCGGCCAAGAGGCAACGGCGGGACGAAGAGGGCCCAGCAACACCUGUGCCCGUACCGCCACAGGUGUUGCCGAUACAGGCAAUGCCGCUGGGGAGCACUGACAUUAUGAUGAGCGCCGGCAGUCCUUACGAUGAGCCGCUGCUGCCCCCUACUCACUCCCGUAGGGGAGCUGGACGGUCUUCGGCAGUGCCCAGGAUUUCUGCACCUGACAUUGGGAGGAGGUAUUAUGAGCCAUUGUCUGUUAUGCUGCCACCACCCGUGGCGCCGAUGCAGUUCAGGCAAGCUGAGCUCAGGGUGAUUACUUCUGUCGAGUCACAGCUUGGGGAACCGUUGAGGGAGGAUGGACCCGUCCUCGGUGUCGAUUUUGAUCCGCUUCCUCCAGGCGCCUUUGGUGCACCAAUCGUUCCGGAGCAGCAAAAGCAGCCUGUCCGAUCAUAUGACGCAAAGAUAUUUUCUAGGCAUGAUCCGAAUCUCUUAAAGGUGUCCUCAUUUUUGCCCAGCAUGGAGCACCCUUUUGUUCCGAAUUCGUUUGCUGGGAAGAGAAAAUCAAUGGUUGGUAAUCCACCACCUCAAGUUCACCCUCAUGGUGGAUCGAGGGCAGUUCAUGAGUAUCAAUUUCUUCCUGAGCAGCCAAGUGAUACAUACGAGAGAGCAAGUAGAUCUCAUUACUAUGACACUCCGGUUGAAGCUUCAAAUUCGAGGAUUCCAUCUCUCACUCCAGGACCGCACCUUCUCCAUGUAUCUGAGGAGAUGACACCUGGUUAUGCUUUUGAAGGCCAAGGUCUUCUGCCUCAAUCUGGCAGGCCUCAGGUGUUUUCUGCAGUAUCGACAGAUUACGAGAUGAAUCAAUCUAAUAGCAACAUUAAUUCUGUGCCAGUCGAUGGUCAAUUUGGUAGUUCUCAUGUUGCUGGCUUUGAAGACCCACUUAUAUCAUCGGAAACAAGGGCUUAUCAUGAUGAAGAUGCUUCUCGAGUGGAUAGGAAGCGAAAACAUAACGAGGAAGCAAAAAUUGCAAAGGAAGUCGAAGCUCAUGAAAAACGGAUUAGGAAGGAGCUUGAAAAACAAGACAUAAUGAGGAGAAAGAGAGAGGAACAAAUGCGCAAGGAAAUGGAGAGACAUGAUCGUGAAAGGAGAAAAGAAGAGGAGCGAUUGCUUCGUGAGAGGCAAAGAGAGGAAGAGAGAUUCCAAAGGGAGCAAAGGCGGGAACAUGAGCGCAUGGAGAAGUUUUUGCAGAAGCAAUCUAGACGAGCAGAGAAACAAAGACAAAAGGAGGAACUCAGAAAAGAGAAAGAGAUGGCGAGGCAGAAGGCUGCUAAUGAAAGGGCCACAGCACGAAGAAUUGCACGGGAGUAUAUGGAGCUUGUGGAAGAUGAGCGCUUGGAGCUAAUGGAAUUGGCUGCGCAAAGCAAAGGGUUACCCUCAAUGCUUUGUCUUGAUAGUGACACAUUGCAGCAGCUGGAUUCAUUCCGAGGCAUGUUGAGCCAUUUCCCCCCUGAAAUGGUGAGAUUGAAGGCGCCAUUGUCGAUAAAGCCUUGGACAGGAUCCGAGGAAAGUGUUGGAAAGCUUUUGAUGGUGUGGAAAUUCUUGAUUACUUUUGCUGAUGUCCUCGAGCUUUCUUCAGUUACACUUGAUGAGUUUAUUCAGUCUCUUCAUGAUUAUGAUUCAAGGUUGUUGGGGGAAUUGCAUGUUGCUCUUCUGAAAUCUAUCAUAAAGGAUAUCGAGGAUGUCGCCCGAACUCCGUCGGUUGCAUUGGGGGUAAAUCCAGGAGGUGGCCAUCCACAAAUUGUUGAAGGGGCAUAUUCUUGGGGAUUCAAUAUACGUAACUGGCAGCGCCACCUCAAUCUUCUUACCUGGCCUGAAAUUUUACGGCAGUUUGCUUUAUCUGCUGGUUUUGGACCUCAACUGAAGAAAAGGAAUGCUGAAGAUGUUUUUUAUCGUGAUGAAAAUGAGGGCCAGGAUGGUCAGAAUGUCAUAUCCGCUCUCCGAAAUGGUUCAGCAGCCGUGCGUGCUGCCGCUUUGAUGAAAGAGAGAGGUUACACCCAUCGUCGAUCUCGGCAUCGCCUCACUCCUGGGACGGUAAAAUUUGCUGCUUUCCAUGUGCUUUCUCUUGAAGAUAGCAGUGGUCUCACAAUAUUGGAAGUUGCAGAGAAAAUCCAGAAAUCUGGACUGAGAGAUCUUACCACAAGCAAGACACCUGAGGCAUCUAUAGCUGCUGCCUUGUCAAGGGAUACAAAACUUUUUGAGCGAACUGCUCCUUCAACAUAUUGUGUAAAGUCCCCUUACAGAAAAGAUCCAGCUGAUUCUGAGGCUGUGCUGUCAGCAGCACGUGAAAAAAUUAGGGCUUUUCAGAAUGUGCUGUCUGACUCUGAAGCUGAAAAAGAGGUGGAUGAUGUUGAUAGAGACGAGGAAUCUGAUUGUGAUGAUGACCCUGACGGUGAUGAUGUGAAUAUUGAGGUAGGAGAUGAGAAGGGCCCCCUUCUUGCUGUUAAAGCACAAGGUGUAAUACCAACUGCGACUAAAGUUGGUGACGUGAAAGGGGAUCCAGAUGAUUUGGAUGCUGCAUUAACUCAACCAAUUAGUUCUACUACAUCUCGAAAAGAUAUCGCCAUGCUUUCUUUAGGCGACUCCAGUGCAGUAGGUACUUCAAGUGUUUCACCUCUCAGAGCUUCAUCAGAUCAUCCUGAGGUAAUCACUGGUGAUCCUGAAGAUACACAGAUCGAUGAAAGCAACCAAGGUGAGUCUUGGGUACAGGGACUAGCAGAAGGUGACUAUUGUGAUCUUAGUGUCGAAGAACGUCUAAAUGCAUUGGUCGCGCUUGUUGGUGUUGCCACUGAAGGGAACUCUAUUCGAGCUGUUCUCGAGGAACGUUUGGAAGCAGCGAAUGCCAUAAAAAAACAAAUGUGGGCGGAGGCACAACUUGAUAAAAGACGUUCCAAAGAAGAGUUUGCUAGCAAAGUGCAGUAUAAUUCUUACACGAGUUUAAAGGCUGAUGUUAUUCCAGAAAAUAAUGCCACAGAGACUACUCCAACUCCAGUCCGUAAUCUUGAUAUAGACAAUGAUGAAAAUGCAGGGACUUCAAACAAUAAUGAGAUACUUAAUCAACAGAAUAAUGCUGGCAUUGUGUCUUAUGAAAGGAAUGGCACGGGGCAAGAAACCAGUGCAACACCAGAUAAUUUAUCUGCUCAGCAGUAUGCAUAUGCCGAUAAAACACGGUCUCAGUUGAAAUCAUAUAUUGGUCAUAGAGCAGAGCAGCUGUAUGUUUACAGAUUGCUUCCCCUGGGACAGGAUCGGAGACGAAACCGAUAUUGGCAGUUUUCAACUUCCACAUCACCAAAUGAUCCUGGUUCAGGAAGAAUCUUUUUUGAAUCGAGAGAGGGAUAUUGGAGGGUUAUUGACUCAGAGGAGGUGUUUGAUGCUCUGGUAGCUUCCCUUGAUACACGUGGCAGCCGGGAGGCACAACUGCACUCGAUGCUGCAAAGGGUUGAAUCAACCUUUAAGGAAGGUAUUAAGAGGAAACGGGACGCAGCCAUUGAACAAUCAGCUGGAAGGUACCUAAAGAAUGGAGCUACUGAUACAAUGCGUGCAAGUUAUCGUAGUGAGUUUGGAAGCCCAAGCAGUACUCAUUCCAGUGUCUCUGCUGAUAGUGCCACCACAUAUUCUGAUUCGUUCAAAAUAGAGCUUGGACGUAAUGAUGUGGAGAAGAUAUCUAUCUCAAAAAGGACGGAUGGUUUUUUAAAAUGGAUGUGGAGCGAAUGUUGCGAUCGCCAACUGACAUGUGCCAUGAAGUAUGGGAAGAAAAGAUGCUCUGCACUGAUGCAUUCUUGUAAUUACUGCUAUCAGAUUUACUUAGCAGAAGAAAGGCACUGCUCGUCUUGCCAUAAGACCUUCAAAUCCAUUUAUAAUUAUUCUGAGCACACGUCACAAUGUGACGAGAAGAGAAGAACUGACCCUAACUGGAAGAUGCAAAUUGCAGACUAUUCUGUUCCAAUUGGAAUGAGAUUGCUCAAGUUGCAGUUAGCUACCAUUGAGGCUUCGAUACCAUCAGAAGCACUUCAACCUUUUUGGAGUGAUGGAUAUCGGAAAUCUUGGGGCGUGAAGUUGCACUCUACCACAUCCAUCGAGGAAAUAUUCCAGAUGUUGACUCUGCUAGAAGGUGCAAUAAGACGAGACUACCUGUCUUCUGAUUUUGAAACAUCAAAUGAAUUGCUUAAUAACUCAAAGACAGAAGAUAUGCCUUCCCAGAAUCCUUCCUCACUACCUGGAACUUCUGUACUUCCAUGGGUUCCUGACACUACUGCUGCCAUCACAUUAAGAAUGUUAGACCUUGAUUAUGCUGUUUCAUACGUACAGAAUCAAAAGAAGGAGAGAGAUGGUGGAGAUUCCAUGAAGCUUGCAUCAAGGUAUACUGUUGUUAAGAAGGCACAAGAUCUAGAGCCGUUGGAACCAACUGGUUUUGACCUGUAUGAUGCAAGGGGGCCUCCCAGUAGUGGCCGCAGGGGUCGUGGAAGAGGAAGUAGAGGAGGUAGCAGGGGAGGAAGAGGUCGAAGUCGAGGUGGAAGGAUCCCAAGAGGUAUUAGCAGCUCAUCUAGGAUUGAAUUUAUGGAUGAGGAUGCUGCAUAUGAGAAAGCCCCAAGAAAGAACGCACGUCGAGGCCGUGGCCGUGGCCGUGGCCGUGGGCGCGGACGUCGAACAGUUAGGCCUCGGCAGCCAUCAUCUGAGGGCAGAGGCAGAUCGAUUCCAAAGGCUAAUCUGCUGGGAAGCUUCAGCAUGCUUAGCAAUGUGAAGCCUUCUGCUGUUGAGGAGUCUCCACGAAGCUCAGGUGCAGAAGAGUGGGGCUUGGAGAGCAGAAGACCGUACAUCCAAGGUGAUGGUGACGAGAACAGCUCUGAAUCCGAAUCAGAUCAAUCAGAAGACAACGGGGAAAACGGCCAGCCCAUGGAUGAGGAGUAUGAGGAGCAGGUUCCAGAUUACUCGAGAGCCUAUUCUGGUGGGUUGAGACCCCAUGCCCAUGUCAUGUUGGAUGAUGAGACCGAGGAUGAUGAUGAAGACGCUGAAGGGGACGGAGAGGGCGACGAGGAAGAAUACGACGUGAACCAUGCUUCGGCUGAUGUUGAUGAUGAGAUGGACGAGGAUGAUGAUGAUAUAGGUAAUGAUGGGGAUGAUGGUGGUGAUGGAGUUGAGGUGAAUGCAGAUGAAGAUGAAGGCGCGACCUCAUACUCGUCAGAGUACAGUGAAUAA
Molecule: ribosomal RNA, 5553 nt
Filed under: Triticum aestivum (bread wheat)
Lineage: Eukaryota; Viridiplantae; Streptophyta; Magnoliopsida; Poales; Poaceae
Description: partial small subunit ribosomal RNA
Source: RNAcentral